AGUGAACGCUGGCGGUAGGCCUAACACAUGCAAGUCGAACGGCAGCACAGUAAGAGCUUGCUCUUACGGGUGGCGAGUGGCGGACGGGUGAGGAAUACAUCGGAAUCUACUUUUUCGUGGGGGUUAACGUAGGGAAACUUACGCUAAUACCGCAUACGACCUACGGGUGAAAGCAGUGGAUCUUCGGACCUUGCGCGAUUGAAUGAGCCGAUGUCGGAUUAGCUAGUUGGCGGGGUAAAGGCCCACCAAGGCGACGAUCCGUAGCUGGUCUGAGAGGAUGAUCAGCCACACUGGAACUGAGACACGGUCCAGACUCCUACGGGAGGCAGCAGUGGGGAAUAUUGGACAAUGGGCGCAAGCCUGAUCCAGCCAUACCGCGUGGGUGAAGAAGGCCUUCGGGUUGUAAAGCCCUUUUGUUGGGAAAGAAAAGCAGCAGGUUAAUACCCCGCUGUUCUGACGGUACCCAAAGAAUAAGCACCGGCUAACUUCGUG
RNAcentral lists this ribosomal RNA (492 nucleotides) under uncultured bacterium. Its description in RNAcentral is "partial 16S ribosomal RNA". It matches the Rfam family "Bacterial small subunit ribosomal RNA", at positions 29 to 507 of the family's 1533-position model. The record is from RNAcentral.